CUGGGGACAAGGAACAUUGUACACCCGAAGUCGAUGAGGUAACCGUAAGGCAGCAGCCGCCUAAGGUGGGAUAGAUGAUUGGGGUGAAGUCGUAACAAGGUAGCCGUAUCGAAAGGUGCGGCUGGAUCACCUCCUUUCUAAGGAUAAGGAACUGCGCAUUGGUCUUGUUUAGUCUUGAGAGGUCUUGUGGGGUCUUAGCUCAGCUGGGAGAGCGCCUGCUUUGCACGCAGGAGGUCAGCGGUUCGAUCCCGCUAGUCUCCAUUGGUGAGAGAUCACCAAGUAAUGCACAUUGAAAAUUGAAUAUCUAUUUUAUAUAGUAACAAGAAAAUAAACCGAAAACGCUGUAGUAUUAAUAAGAGUUUAUGACUCAAAGGUCAGAAAAUAAGGUUAAGUUAAUAAGGGCGCACGGUGGAUGCCUUGGCACUAGGAGCCGACGAAGGACGUGACAAACGACGAUAUGCCUUGAGUAGCUGUAAGUAAGCAUGAUCCAGGGAUUUCCGAACGGGAAAACCCACAAAAUUUUUUAAGAAUGAAGCCAACACCCCGGGAAUGAAUUUUCAUUGUCCGGAGGGGUUGGGGGGGGUGUGGGAGUGGUUUAG
RNAcentral lists this unclassified non-coding RNA (599 nucleotides) under Streptococcus pneumoniae. RNAcentral's name for it is "partial contains 16S ribosomal RNA, 16S-23S ribosomal RNA intergenic spacer, and 23S ribosomal RNA". The stretch from base 386 to 599 matches the Rfam family "Bacterial large subunit ribosomal RNA", at positions 1 to 243 of the family's 2925-position model. Lineage: Bacteria; Bacillati; Bacillota; Bacilli; Lactobacillales; Streptococcaceae. The record is from RNAcentral.